AUACGGAGGGUGCAAGCGUUAAUCGGAAUUACUGGGCGUAAAGAGUACGUAGGUGGUUUAUUAAGUCAGAUGUGAAAGCCCCGGGCUCAACCUGGGAACUGCAUUUGAAACUAGUAAACUAGAGUAUGGUAGAGGGGGGUAGAAUUUCUAGUGUAGCGGUGAAAUGCGUAGAUAUUUGAAGGAAUACCAGUGGCGAAGGCGGCCCCCUGGACCAAUACUGACACUGAGGUACGAAAGCGUGGGUAGCGAACAGGAUUAGAAACCCCAGUAGUCC
This 274-nucleotide ribosomal RNA is filed under the name uncultured bacterium. RNAcentral's name for it is "partial 16S ribosomal RNA". It matches the Rfam family "Bacterial small subunit ribosomal RNA", at positions 523 to 796 of the family's 1533-position model. The record is from RNAcentral.